ANNCAUGCAGUCGAGCGGAAACGAGUUACUGAACCUUCGGGGAACGUUAACGGCGUCGAGCGGCGGACGGGUGAGUAAUGCCUGGGAAAUUGCCCUGAUGUGGGGGAUAACCAUUGGAAACGAUGGCUAAUACCGCAUAAUAGCUUCGGCUCAAAGAGGGGGACCUUCGGGCCUCUCGCGCCAGGAUAUGCCCAGGUGGGAUUAGCUAGUUGGUGAGGUAAUGGCUCACCAAGGCGACGAUCCCUAGCUGGUCUGAGAGGAUGAUCAGCCACACUGGAACUGAGACACGGUCCAGACUCCUACGGGAGGCAGCAGUGGGGAAUAUUGCACAAUGGGCGCAAGCCUGAUGCAGCCAUGCCGCGUGUAUGAAGAAGGCCUUCGGGUUGUAAAGUACUUUCAGCAGUGAGGAAGGUAUCGUAGUUAAUAGCUGCGGUAUUUGACGUUAGCUGCAGAAGAAGCACCGGCUAACUCCGUGCCAGCAGCCGCGGUAAUACGGAGGGUGCGAGCGUUAAUCGGAAUUACUGGGCGUAAAGCGCAUGCAGGUGGUUUGUUAAGUCAGAUGUGAAAGCCCGGGGCUCAACCUCGGA
RNAcentral lists this ribosomal RNA (587 nucleotides) under uncultured bacterium. RNAcentral's name for it is "bacterial SSU rRNA". It matches the Rfam family "Bacterial small subunit ribosomal RNA", at positions 51 to 619 of the family's 1533-position model. The record is from RNAcentral.